UUUUUGUGACGCCCUCGAUUCAAUUGUACACUAAUCAUACACGCAAAUGUGUACGAUCAAGAUCAAGGACUCACGAGAAGAUAUAUCACAACACAACUCUAGACACAAAUUAAAAUAAUACAAGCUUUAUAUUACAAGCUAGGGGCCUCGAGGGCUUGAAUACAUAAGCUCGAAUACAAAAGAGUCAGCGGAAGCAACAAUAUCUGAGUACAUACAUGAGUUAGACAAGUUUGCCUUAAGAAGGCUAGCACAAAAGUAGCAACGAUCGAAAAGGCAAGGCCUCCUGCCUCGGAGCCUCCUAACUACUCCUGGUCGUCGGCGGUCUCCAAGUAGUAGUAGGCAUCGACAGUGGCAUCUAGCUCCUUGGCUCCGACAUCUGGUUGUAUCAACCAGAAAGAAGAAGAAAGGCGGAAAAGGGGGAGCAAAGCAACAGUGAGUACUCAUCCAAAGUACUCGCAAGCAAGGAUCUACACUACAUAUGCAACAUUAUCAAAGGAAGGCUGUAUAUGUGGACUGGGCUGCAGAAAUGCCAGAAUAGAGGGGAGAGCCUAGUCCUAUCGAAGACUAGCAUCUUCUGGAAACCACCAUCUUGCAGCAACAGGAGGGAGUAGAGUAGCAUAAAGUAAAGUAGUAGAAGUGCUAUCAACCUCGGCCAGAGAUCCUUUCUCGACUCCCUGCGAGAAAGCAAUCCCAGAGCCAUACUAACCAUUUCUCAUCACAAUCCAAUUCUCAUCACAAGUAUCCAGUUCUAGUUGUAUUGAUCGGGAUACAACUCCAAGUGUCCGUUACCAUAGGACAUGCUAUCGAUAGAUGUUUUCUUCCCUGCAGGGGUGCACCAACUUACCCACCACGCUCGAUUAACUCCGGCCAGACACACUUUCCUGGGUCAUGCCCGGCCUCGGCCAAACAAUACGCCGCAACCCGACCUAGGCUUAAUAGAGAGGUCAAGCACGCCAGACUAAACCUAUGCCCCCAGGGGUCAUGGGACAUUGCCCCGGGAACUCCUGCACGUUGCGAACGUGGCUGGUGAGCGGACCUAGCUACCUCCUUAAAAAAGGCAGGUGCUUACCAGUCCAACCCGGUGCGCCGCUUAGUCGCUGACGUCUAUUAAGCUUCGGCUGAUGCAUAUGACGCAGAACGCCCAUACUAUGCCCACGUGAUGGUUAGUGCUAUCAGGCCAGAGGCCCCUCGGAUCAAAUAUCCAAAUCGUAGUGGAUUAGGAACGCGCGGUAACAAGAAGAGACUCACGAAAGAUGUGACCCCGUUGCCCCGUCUCGAGGACUUGCGGCAAGGGCUAGGAAUGCCCGGCCACGCCUCGUAAUUAUCUCACGGGCACCCUCCAGGGCAACCCGUCUCCACAUCACUCGCGGGUACCCCUCAGGGUCGACCCGCCUUUCCAAGUAACAGUGGUAAAGUCCAAGUAUCCGUGUGUCCAAAUAUCAAUGGAAAACCCGAGGAACCACCCCCGGUGAAUUCCACUCGAUGUAAUCAUCAAGGUGAACGUAAGAGGAACCACCCCCGAGGUUCACACUUGAGGGGUUGCACGACAGAGUCGUAUCGGAAGUGGUUAAGGCGGAAUCACCCUCGAUGACCACGACCGAAUAGCUACACUACAGGAUUAACAUCAGAAGUGCUGUAGAGGUCACACCCUCGGCACUCGAUAGUAACCCAGUAGUGUCGAGCAACUAAGGGGAAAGUGAUGUGCGGUGCCAGGGCCUGGUCUUCGAUCCCGUUGAUCGGGUCUUCAAUGAUGAAGCAGGGGCAACAAGGACAAGGUGGGGGUCACUGAUGGAUCACUAACCAACAUAUACUAAGCAGUUUAGGAUAAGCAGGUAGGUAACAAUAAGCAGGUUACAAAAGCAGGCUAUGCAUCAGAAUAUGAUCAAACAAUAACAGUAGCAAAAUCUAAUGCAAGCAUGAGAGAAUGGAAUGGGCGAUAUCGGGAUGAUCAAAGGGGGGGCUUGCCUGGAAGCUCCGCUGAAAGGGAAGAAGGGUCGUCGGUGACGUAGACAAUCACAGUGGCACCGACAGCGGUCUCGGGGUCUACUAGAGAGAAGAGGGAGAAGAAACAAUAAAUAUGAAGCAAACAUAGCAUCCCAAUUCAUAACAUGGCAACACGCGGUGCUAAAGGUGACCGAACGCCGUACUACACGUUGGAGACGGAGAGGGAACACAUCCGGAGAGGCUUUCCCGGCAUUUGGUAUUUUCCGGACAGAUGAAAAGAGGGGGACGGUUCCAUGUUCAGCAUGCUAGGGGCAUGUGAUAGAUGAACGAACCGCGUAUUCGGAUUCGUUGGAUUUUUCUGAGCAACUUUCAUAUAGAAAACAUUUUCAUCCGAGUUACGGUUAUUUUUAUAUGAUUUUUCAAAGUUUUAAACAUUUCGGGAAUUAAUUAAUAAUUAAACUCGAAUUUAAGCAAAAAUGCAGAAUAGGCUGGGUGCACCCGGUGCAGUGCACCCAGAGUCGCGCUAGUGGCUGACAGCGGGGCCAGUCAACUGCCCAGUCAACAGUUGACUCAUCAGUUUGACUAGUCAAAGAGGGUCUAGUGGGACCCGCAUGUCAUUGUUUCUGACUCUAGUAGGUUAGGUAAUUUUGUUUAAUUAACAGCGGGGCCCAUUUGUCAUUGAGUUAGUAGUCUAACUAAUGUAGACAAUUAAGUUAAUUACCCUAAUUAGUGGGAGGGGUUAUGCUAAUGGGGGAGUUAGCAUCCCCCAAAUUAAGCAGGGCCGGCCAGAGUAGGCAACGGCCAGGCGGCCAGUGGGGAAGCACGCACGCACGCGCGUAGAUGAAGGAACCCAGCCCGGCCGGUGGCGAGCAGCGGCGGGGGCGCCAGCCGGUGGAUAGAGGUGCGGGAAGCGCCCGCCGGCGCGGCCCCGGCUCGGCCAAGCGCGGCCGGGCGCGACCAAGUGAGCAACGCAGGCAAGGCGGCUGGAGGCGGGCGUAGGCAGCGGCGGGCUGCAGCAGCGCUCGGGCGCCGGCCGGAGGCAAGCUACCGCGGGCGGCAGCGGCGUAGGUAGGGGAGCAGCGACCAGCAGUCGGGAAGCAACAGCGGCAAGUAGUAGCAGCGCAGCAGCGGCAAAUAGCAGCAGCAAACAGCGGUAGCAGCAGGCAGUACGCGGCGUAGCUAGGAGCGGCAACAGUAGCACACGAACAACAACAACAGCAGGGCGGGUGGCAGCAACAAAGGCGGGUGCGCACGGAGGGGAAGCAGGGCGCGACCAGCAUGGGCGGGCUCGCGGCCAGGGGGACAGGCGGACGAGCCCCGGCCGCGCAUGCGAAACAGGCGGGGACGCGGUGAGGGCAGCAAUGUGUUCGGGCGACGGCGGGGACGACGGCGGAAUGGACAAGAUUCAAGAGGGAGAGGAGAGGAAUCAGACGGGGGCUCACCGAGGAGUGCAGGGGCGAGGUCGGGGCGGCCGGGGCUGGUCGGGGAUGCGCAGGUCAACGACGAGAUGCAGCGACCGUGGCGGAGAUGCACGAGGCUAGUGACGGCGAGACAACGUUUUGGCCUCCAUCCAGAGGCAGGGACGAUGUAGACGAAGACGACGAGGCCGAUGGUCAAGCUCCUAGGCGCCCGGGUCAACUGUGGCCACGAGCUUCACAACGGUGCGGCCAUGGGGGUCGCAGACGACGGUGCGGCCAUGGGGGUCGCAGACGACGGUGGGUGUGAACGGGCAGAGGGAGAUGGGGGCAAGUGAGGGGAAAGUGGGUGUGCUAGGGUUCGCAAGAUGGGAGGUCGAUGGCGUCUUAUCUAUCGGGGGGAACGUGGGAUGGCCGACACGCAUGCCUAGCGGUGGCCAUGGUGGCUGGAUGUGUGCCACGACCUCGGUCUUGUACAGGGAAAGGGGAUGACCCCCAUUGGGCUGGGCCAGUGCAUUGUAGCGGUUGGGCCAAAAUGAAAAUGAGACUUUUCUUGUGCCUGUUUUGUAUUUUCUCAGACGUUUUAUAUUUUAGUUAGUAAAAUGACUUUUCUUGUACAUGAAACUUCACAAAUAAAUUACACACAAUAAUUCUAGACCACACACAAAGUUUCACAACGUUUGGAAAAGCAUAAAUAUUUGUUUUAUUUUGAAAAGGCCAAAAUAUUUGCUGAUGGGCCAUUUAUUAAUUUCCUAGGGCAUUUUGGGAAUUCAGAAGAGGUUGGUUUCAACAUGACAAAUGAUCAGGGGAAUUCUUAGAAUAAUGCAAACAUUUUAUUAUGCAUAUUUGAGAAGUUUGAAAUUUGAAUUUAAAAUUUGGACUGGAUUUGAAUCAAAGUGAUAUUAGCAACAGUAACAAUGAUGACAAGGCAUCAUUAGAAGGGGAUUACUGUAGCUGAACUAUCGGGGUGUUACAAAUCUCCUCCACUACAAGAAAUCACGUCCCGAGAUUUAAGUGGGGAAGUAAAGAGUAACUUCAGGUGAACUGACCCUUACAGGGUCAAUUGUCUGGUGAACAAUGCAGGGAAUGUGACAGAAGUAUCUCUCGAGUUGAAAUUAAGAAAAUGUCGAGAGCAAAAUAUGAAGGUACCAUGAGAAGUUUUAACGGGCAGGCAAUCAUUCAAUGCCUAAUCAAAAGGUGAAUGGGGGUCAGAGCAAAAACAACAAAAAUUAUUGCGUCUGAUACUAGAAUAGAUCACUAGGAAGGUGGCUCAUGAAUUACAUACGAAGGCAAGUGAAAAAGGAUACUUCGGAAUCAAGGAUGUACAGGAGUCAGGUUUAGAUCCUGUGGAACUGUGGGUUAUGAGCCCACCAUGUGGUUCAAAAGUAGGAAGGAUGCUAACAUGUUGCACGAUCAUGGUAGCAAGGCACGGUAGAGGAUAGCGUGUCAGUUAUGUUGGCAACAAUGUUGGUACCAAGGGCGAGGGACGAAGAGAACCAUUUUCCUGCUUGUUGAAUGAGGCGGACCAAUAGGCAAAGUUCUCGUCCAUCGGGGGUUACCAGGAUGUCGUCAGCAAUAGUAACAGGGUCACACUGACAGAGUUGUAAACCAAGGUGUUUCCAUAAGCAGGGAAUUAUUUCUGCUUAUAACAUAUAUAGAUCACAAGAAAGGUUAAGCAAACCAAUGGAAAGGAAAAUGCGUUUAUACACAAAAUUUAGGAGUGUAACUUUUCCCAAGGAAAAGUAGAGCAUGAUAUACAUGUUAGAUCAACAAGUACAUCACCAUUUGGAUAAAGGGGCAAGGGAAUUCAUGAUGUUAUCAAUACAACGGUGUUUGGAUAAUAGAGCAAGAAACAUUUGGCAAUGCACUUCCAAUGUUCUUGUUGUUGUUCGGCGUACCACAGUCAUGCUUCGAGGUAACAUUAACAUGGUGUUUCAAGCAAGAUUGAAUCUGCAGGUCACAAGAAGUACAAAGGAACAAUUCCAAGAAUGCCAAGGAAUGUAAGAUAUAAUCAAAACAUGACCAAGUCUAUAUUGGCAGGAAGUCAAGGAUGGUGUCGAUGACAACACAAAUCAUCGAUGGGCAGGGAUGGUAUUUCUCCUCAAGAAUUCGAUUGAUAUCUUAGAACAAGGCAGUAUAUUGAUGGUGAUCAUGACCAAUUUGUCAAGAGGCUCUAUGAAGAUGCCAUCGAGCAGCAACGACAUCAAGCAAAAGGAAUGAUGAAGCAAAGGCUAUUGGAACCACGCAUAUGACACAAGCUCGGAUUCAAGCUUGUUGUUCAAGGUGGAAUGAUAAGAUGAGGAAGAUCGACGUAAGCUUCGCUCAUCGUCGAAAAGUUGUCCUCCGGGAAUAAGGACCAGGUAGCACAGUUAAAAUUUAGCACGAUAAUGAUAUAGCUAAUCAGGCUAGGAAGGACUUGAAGGAUUAUUAAACUCGUAAGCAACAAAAUUACUUAGAGUUGUUGAAUUCAAAGAGCGGAACCGAUUCACUCAUUGGUGUUCUUGAGUGACUAAUAACUCAGAACCCGGGGAAAAUUGGAAUCGAUGAGAAGCACUACUAGAAGAAGACUCACAGGAAGCAACACAGAUGUUAGAUAUUCUCGAGAUACCAGAGGGUAAUACUCGAAGGUAGAGUAGAAUAGAUGCUUGACAGGUGAAACGAUCUGCAGAAGACAAGUACUUUAACUUGUUUGAGAAAUGGGAUCAAAGAAGAACAAUAUGGCUAGAACCAUGAUUGCAAAAGAUCAAAUCCCAGAGACCGGAUGAUAUUAUAUCAAGGAAGUUAUUAUUACAAGAAGCUUACAUGAUAGGAUCUACAUCGUGUCCAUGGGCAUGAACAAAAGUUCAAGGCCGACUCCCACUCUUCAAUGCAUAACCUCUCAUUCACUUCUCGCCUUCGAUGGAGUUGUAAUGUUGAAAGUUAUUUGACAAAACACCAGAAGAGUAAGACUCGUUAAAAAUCUCGGGUUCAAACGGAUUAGGGGAGGCAUAGGUUCGACCCAUAGAGGUAUCUUAGGAACCUAUUCCACAAACUUAAGAAGUAAACAACACAAGCUCGCAGAGCAUGGUUGACAAAAGGAGAGGAUACAAUUUACCAAAGGCAUUAUGUAUCUCGGAAAGGACUUCACGAGGUUCUUUGAAUAUGAAGGACACUGUCGGAUGAUAAUCCAAUAAUGGAUUUGGCGGACCGCAAGGAAUCCGAUGUGAGUGUCGAUGUUCAACGAAAAGAAGAAAUAACGCAAUGGCAUCGGAUUAUAGGGACAUCUGGAUAAUUUCAAAGCUUAAAUACAAAGGAAUUAUGAUUUCCAUAUCGGGGGGAUCAAAAGCAGAGGCUCUGAUCAAUAGAUAAGUAAGUUGAAUAAACAUAUAUCGACAAUCAAUCUAGGUUUGAUUUGCCGAGAACCAGCCCAUGUCCAAAGUGACGUCUGAGCCAAAAGGACGAACUCUAGUUUUGAGUGAGGAUUGCGAGCAUCUGCAACAUAUUGAAUCGACGGACUCAAAAUGCUAGUGACAAAGGAUGCCAAUAAGAUUACUAGACUUAUGGGAUUAACCAUAAUGCAAGCAAGCAAGAAUUUCAACAACAAUAGGCUACUGAGGAUUUUCGGAAGAUCAAAUGGUAUUUCGAAGACUUUUGUGAAACAGAUGAACAACUGGGGAUGAGCGGGUACAAGAUAAGUGCGAGGAAUUAUCGGAAGGGGUAUUCAUGUGGCAAAGAACUGCAAGGCAGUAGACACAGUAUUCUCGGAACAAUAGAGAGAAUUUUGGGGUAUCUUGUAAUAACAAGAUCAACGAGGAAUGAUUGUAUGAAUGGCAAGCGUACGCGGUUAUUCACAGGGGUUUAUCGAUGGAAGGGAAUUGCGAAAGCAUUGGCACAAAGUCUCGAGAUAACAACACAGAGUAUCUUCAAAAUCUUCUAGUGAAGCAAGCGAUCAUCUGGAAUGAGGGGCUCUCCGGGAGGAAGUAUUUACGAGAACCUAAGGUUAGAGUUUGCAAAAUCAUUUAACCUAAGUAGAAGAGAGAUCAGAGUCCCAGAGUAUAGAUGAGGAGUAAAAGAUCCUAAUACCACCCAAUGGCUACGUGGGCCCGUAAGACACACAGCCAAUGUUAGUAAAAGUUUUUCAGUGACUAGACUCAACUUCGGCCAAGGAGUUGAAAAGGGGGCUACCUACAGGCAGUCGGCUCUGAUACCAACUUAUGAUGCCCUCGAUUCAAUCGUACACUAAUCAUACACGCAAAUGUGUACGAUCAAGAUCAAGGACUCACGGGAAGAUAUCACAACACAACUCUAGACACAAAUUAAAAUAAUACAAGCUUUAUAUUACAAGCCAAGGGCCUCGAGGGCUCGAAUACAUAAGCUCGAAUACACAAGAGUCAGCGGAAGCAACAAUAUCUGAGUACAUACAUGAGUUAGACAAGUUUGCCUUAAGAAGGCUAGCACAAAAGUAGCAACGAUCGAAAAGGCAAGGCCUCCUGCCGGGGAGCCCCCUAACUACUCCUGGUCGUCGGCGGUCUCCACGUAGUAGUAGGCAUCGACAGUGGCAUCUGGCUCCUCGGCUCCGACAACUGGUUGUAUCAACCGGAAAGAAGAAGAAAGGGGGGAAAGGGGGAGCAAAGCAACCGUGAGUACUCAUCCAAAGUACUCGCAAGCAAGGAUCUACACUACAUAUGCAACAUUAUCACAGGAAGGCUACAUGUGGACUGGGUUGCAGAAAUGCCAGAAUAGAGGGGGGAGCCUAGUCCUAUCGAAGACUAGCAUCUUCUGGAAACCACCAUCUUGCAGCAACAGGAGGGAGUAGAGUAGCAUAAAGUAAAGUAGUAGAAGUGUUAUCAACCUCGGCCAGAGAUCCUUUCUCGACUCCCUGCGAGAAAGCAAUCCCAGAGCCAUACUAACCAUUUCUCAUCACAAUCCAAUUCUCAUCACAAGUAUCCAAUUCUAGUUGUAUCGAUCGGGAUACAACUCCAAGUGUCCGUUACCGUAGGACAGGCUAUCGAUAGAUGUUUUCUUCCCUGCAGGGGUGCACCAACUUACCCACCACACUCGAUUGACUCCGGCUGGACACACUUUCCUGGGUCAUGCCCGGCCUCGGCCAAACAAUACACCGCAACCCGACCUAGGCUUAAUAGAGAGGUCAAGCACGCCAGACUAAACCUAUGCCCCCAGGGGUCAUGGUCCAUCCCCCCGGGAACUCCUGCACGUUGCGAACGCGGCCGGUGAGUAGACCUAGCUACCUCCUUAAAAAAGGCAGGUGCUUACCAGUCCAACCCGGCGCGCGCCGCUUAGUCGCUGACGUCUAUUAAGCUUCGGCAGAUGCAUACGACGCAGAACGCCUAUACUAUGCCCAUGUGAUGGUUAGUGCUAUCAGGCCAGAGGCCCCUCGGAUCAAAUAUCCAAAUCAUAGUGGAUUAGGAACGCGCGGUAACAAGCAGAGACUCACGAAAGAUGUGACCCCGUUGCCCCAUCUCGAUGACUUGCGGCAAGGGCUAGGAAUGCCCGACCACGCCUCAUAAUUAUCUCGCGGGCACCCUCCAGGUCAACCCGUCUCCACAUCACUCGCGGGUACCCCUCAGGGUCGACCCGCCUUUCCAAGUAACAGUGUUAAAGUCCAAGUAUUCGUGUGUCCAAAUAUCAAGGGAAAACCCGAGGAAUCACCCCCGGUGAAUUCCACUCGAUGUAAUCAUCAAGGUGAACGUAAGAGGAACCACCCCCGAGGUUCACACUUGAGGGGUUGCACGACAGAGUCGUAUCGGAAGUGGUUAAGGCAGAAUGACCCUCGAUGACCACGACCGAAUAGCUACACUUCAGGAUUAACAUCAGAAGUGCUGUAGAGGUCUCACCUUCGGCACUCGAUAGUAACCCAGUAGUGUUGAGCAACUAAGGGGAAAGUGAUGUGCGGUGCCGGGGCCUGGUCUUCGAUCCCGUUGAUAGGGUCUUCUAUAAUGAAUCAGGGGCAACAAGGACAAGGUGGGGGUCACUGAUGGAUCACUAACCAACAUAUACUAAGCAGUUUAGGAUAAGCAGGUAGGUAACAAUAAGCAGGUUACAAAAGCAGGCUAUGCAUCAGAAUAUGAGCAAACAAUAACAAUAGCAAAAUCUAAUGCAAGCAUGAGAGACUGGAAUGGGCGAUAUCGGGAUGAUCAAAGGGGGGCUUCCCUGGAAGCUCCGCUGAAAGGGAAGAAGGGUCGUCGGUGACGUAGACGAUCAUAGUGACACCGACAGCGGUCUUGGGGUCUACCGAAGAGAAGAGGGGGAAGAAACAAUAAAUAUAAAGCAAACAUAGCAUCCCAAUUCAUAACAUGGCAACACGCGGUGCUAAAGGUGACCGAACGCAGUACUACACGUUGGAGACGGAGAGGGAAGACAUCCGGAGAAGCUUUCCCGGCGUUUGUUAUUUUUCGAACAGAUGAAAAGAGGGAGACGGUUCCAUGUUCAGCAUGCUAGGGGCAUGUGACAGAUGAACGGGCCGCGAAUUCGGAUUUGUUGGAUUUGUCUGAGCAACUUUCAUAUAGAAAACAUUUUCAUCCGAGUUACGGUUAUUUUUAUAUGAUUUUUCAAAGUUUUAAACAUUUCUGGAAUUAAUUAAUAAUUAAACUCGAAUUUAAGUAAAAAGGCAGAAUAGGCUGGGUGCACCCGGUGCAGUGCACCCAGAGUCGCGCUAGUGGCUGACAGCAGGGCCAGUCAACUGCCCAGUCAACAGUUGACUGGUCAGUUUGACUAGUCAAAGAGGGUCUAGUGGAACCCGCAUGUCAUUGUCUCUGACUCUAGUAGGUUAGGUAAUUUUGUUUAAUUAACAGCGGGGCCCAUCUGUCAUUGAGUUAGUAGUCUAACUAAUGUAGAAAAUUAAGUUAAUUACCCUAAUUAGUGAGAGGCGUUAUGCUAAUGGGGGAGUUAGCAUCCCCCAAAUUAAGCAGGGCCGGCCUGAGUAGGCAACGACCAGGCGGCCAGCGGGGAAGCACGCACGCACGCGCGUGGGCGGAGGAACCCAGCCCGGCCGGCGGCGAGCAGCGGCGGGGGCNNNNNNNNNNNNNNNNNNNNNNNNNNNNNNNNNNNNNNNNNNNNNNNNNNNNNNNNNNNNNNNNNNNNNNNNNNNNNNNNNNNNNNNNNNNNNNNNNNNNNNNNNNNNNNNNNNNNNNNNNNNNNNNNNNNNNNNNNNNNNNNNNNNNNNNNNNNNNNNNNNNNNNNNNNNNNNNNNNNNNNNNNNNNNNNNNNNNNNNNNNNNNNNNNNNNNNNNNNNNNNNNNNNNNNNNNNNNNNNNNNNNNNNNNNNNNNNNNNNNNNNNNNNNNNNNNNNNNNNNNNNNNNNNNNNNNNNNNNNNNNNNNNNNNNNNNNNNNNNNNNNNNNNNNNNNNNNNNNNNNNNNNNNNNNNNNNNNNNNNNNNNNNNNNNNNNNNNNNNNNNNNNNNNNNNNNNNNNNNNNNCGGCCGCCGGCGCGGCCCCGACUCGGCCAAGCGUGGCCUCCGGCGCGGCCGGGCGCGACCAAGUGAGCAACACAGGCAGGGCGGUUGGAGGCGGGCGUAGGCAGCGGCGGGCUGCAGCACCGCUCGGGCGCCGGCCGGAGGCAAGCGGCCGCGGGCGGUAGCGGCGUAGGUAGGGGAGCAGCGACCAGCAGUCGGGAAGCAACAGCGGCAAGUAGCAGCAGCAAACAGCGGUAGCAGCAGGCAGUACACGGCAUAGCUAGGAGCGGCAGCAGUAGCACACGAACAACAACAGCAGGGCGGGUGGCAGCGACAAAGGCGGGUGCGCGCGGAGGGGAAGCAGGGCGCGACCAGCAUGAGCGGGCUCGCGGCCAGGGGCAGGGGCGGACGAGCCCCGGGCGCGCACGCGAAACAGGCGGGGACGCGGCAAGGGCAGCAACGGGUUCGGGCGACGGCGGGGACGAUGGCGGAAUGGACAAGAUUCAAGAGGGAGAGGAGAGGAAUCGGACGGGGGCUCACCAAGGAGUGCAUGGGCGAGGUCGGGGUGGCCGGGGCUGGUCGGGGAUGCGCAGGUCA
RNAcentral lists this long non-coding RNA (11346 nucleotides) under Triticum aestivum (bread wheat). RNAcentral's name for it is "long non-coding RNA (TAES_LNC019338)". The record is from RNAcentral. Lineage: Eukaryota; Viridiplantae; Streptophyta; Magnoliopsida; Poales; Poaceae.